This 585-nucleotide ribosomal RNA is filed under the name Triticum aestivum (bread wheat). RNAcentral describes it as "partial small subunit ribosomal RNA". Lineage: Eukaryota; Viridiplantae; Streptophyta; Magnoliopsida; Poales; Poaceae. The record is from RNAcentral.
AUGUGUGAAAACCGCUGCUCAAUUGUCUCAUGGGAUGUUAGAGGUCUCAACAUGCCGGCAAAACGUCUAGCUGUCCACGAAGCAAUCGCAGUCUGGAAACCUGCAAUCGUAUGCUUGCAGGAGACCAAGAUCAGUGCCUGGGACCCUGCCACCACCAGAGAUAUUGGUGGAUCCUUGCUUGAUCAAGCCUUCCACAUACCUGUUGCAGGCACCAGGGGCGGCAUUAGCCUCUUCUGGAACAACGCCCUUGUGCACGCAUCUGACCUGAUAGCCAUGCAAUUCAACCUUACUGGAAACAUUAGAUUGCUGACCUCCCACUCGCAUUUCUGCCUGACCAUGGUCUAUGGACCAGUAGAUGAUAGCCUCAAGGACAGCUUCUUAGCUGAGAUGUGCGGCUCUGCACCACCACUAGGCCACCCAUGGAUUGUGCUCGGAGACUUCAACCAAAUAUAUGAAGCCAGGGACAAAAAUAACCUCAACCUCAAUCAUAGGCUCAUGGGUAAAUUCUGAAAUGCCAUCAACUAUGCUGAACCUUUUGAGAUUAGAUGCAAAAACAGAAAAUUCACCUGGAGCAACGAGCAGUAG